Molecule: ribosomal RNA, 253 nt
Filed under: uncultured bacterium
Lineage: Bacteria
Description: partial 16S ribosomal RNA
Rfam family: Bacterial small subunit ribosomal RNA
Source: RNAcentral
UACGUAGGUGACAAGCGUUGUCCGGAUUUACUGGGCGUAAAGAGCGCGCAGGCGGUCGAUCAAGUCGAGUGUGAAAGCCCCCGGCUCAACUGGGGAGGGUCAUUCGAUACUGAUCGACUCGAAGGCAGGAGAGGGUAGUGGAAUUCCCGGUGUAGUGGUGAAAUGCGUAGAUAUCAGGAGGAACACCGGUGGCGAAGGCGGUUCUCUGGGCCUUACCUGACGCUGAGGAGCGAAAGCAUGGGGAGCAAACAGG